UCUGUCUUUCUGCUGUGCAUUUCGCUUUAAAAACUCUCCUAUUGCAAAGUUGUCAAGUCAAAAGUAGUAUCCUCUUUGUGUGAUGUCAGCUUUUAGCCACAUCACAAAAGCAAGAUAAGUGCUAUUUAGGAGUGUGUGGAUUACCACAGACCUGUGAACAAAACUGAAAUGACAUCGCUCUUUUGACUGCAUUCAUCUGCUUCCAAAAUAGACAAUAGUAAGAAUCACUGCAUGCUUUUCAUAUGAAUUUGAAAACUGUGGUGAAUGCACAAAACAUACUUGUUUGACAGCUUUAAUGAUAAAAGUAUGUGCAACUCUAAAAGUUAUAAAGCACGUGAAAAACAUUAGUUAGUGCUGCAAAAGAGGCAUUAACCAGAAUAGCAUAUAUUAUGUAUUUAUUGGACUUAUUUGGUUUGUUUUAUUAAUAGUACAAAGUCAAACCGCCUUUUAACAGAUUAUUAAUUUUCUGAUAAAAUUAGAAAGUAAUGAUAUUUUCAGCAAAACAUUAAAAACUUGCUGUUUUUUUUUCCAAUACGGACCUUAAUUUUUGUUAUUUAUCUGAGCCCAUGUACUGAUGAUAAAGUGCAUAAGGUGAAAAAAAAAAGGAGUCGUGAGUUGCACUUCCUCACUUGCAUCCAUAGGUGGAGACAUUGCCUUCUCCAGUUUGUCACUGACAACAUUAUUGAGGGAGCGCUCACUGAAAUGAGCAGAUUCCUCAGGACAAAAGACAAAAUAUUUUGACAAGCAGAGAGGAGGCUCAUUGUUACCCACAUUUUAGAAGUGGGAUAUCCAGACAUUUCCAAACGCUAAAAAUUGCUAAUACUGCUACACCUCAAACAGGAUUUUCCCCUGGAGUAAUAAUGAUUGAUUGCAUAUGACAUUAAUAUUCCUUAACCAUACACCUUUUAGUAUUUAUGGAGGGGUGGGGGGCUAGGUUACGCUCUGGUGGUGCCAGUUCAAUAACGGUGUUUGGCAGAUGUGCCUCUGUUCUGAAAUAGAGAGGUAAUGUUUGACAUGGGUCUCAUCCUGCAUGAACUGAUGCCUGUUGACAGAGUGACUAAAUCCAUCCAGCAGACUAUUCUGCAGAGGUUAUCCCAGAAGGCUAAUCAGCAGUGAUAUGUGUGAAAAGGUGAUGAGCCUCUUAUGAAAUACUAAUUGGGAUGCAUGCAGAAGACCUUGGAAAGCAGGACUGUGAAAAAAACAUACUUAGUUUGAGUUUUAAAGAGUUAAAAAAAGAAAACUUGAAUUAAUCUUUGAACAGCAGUGUAAAUAUAAGGGUGAAGAGCCAAAGAGUGAGGGAUGUUCCGACAGGGAGAGGACAUCUGUGCUUAGAGAAUUUGAAGGCAAAUUGAUCUUGACACUCGUGUCCCCUGUAUCUCCCUCGUGAGCCAAAUCCCCGUUCACAUGGUCAUCCCUGCAACCCAAGACAUCCCCUGUCUCUUUAGAUUAAGCAACGUGAUAGGGAGAGGCCAGAUAAUGCUCCAGUCAACUUUCCCUGCCCUUUCCCCUCUCUCUUCAGGCUUUUUAUUCCUCUCUUGACCCUCAUCAGUUACAAAAUCCCUUCAACUAGGAUGCUAAAGUAGCAGAAAAUAUCCCUGCUCCCUCUUGGUUUUCCUCUUUAUCUCUUAUUGAACUGACAGACUCUAUCUGACCGAGAGGACUGACGUGUGUGGGACACUUUGAGGUGAAAUGGCGGUGAGGAAGUGCAGCUCAUACAGUCUUAUCAGCACAAAGGCCAUGAAACAACAGGCGCCUAAUCUGACUCUGCUGCUGAUGAAUUGGCGAGAUUUCUGCUUAGGAGUAAAUUCUGACAAACCCUGAGAUAAGUACGCACACACACACACACACACACACACACACACGCUGAGAUCUACACACAUGGGCAGGGACACACAAAUAAACCCAGAGUCCCAGUUUUGGAGGCGUCCUCCCUCUCCUUGUCACUCUGCUCUGCCUGUCAUCGUCUUUUACUUUGCUGCAACUUUUGUGAUUAAUUACAUGUUUGGGAGAGGUGUAAGUUAACAGGAGACUCUUACCACAGCAGUCUUCUAACUCUGUGUUCAGCUGUCUUUCUUUACUCUACCUGCAAGCAUCUGUGUUCAAGAGUGAGCUAGCAGGACAAGUUUUUGGCUCAUCGCUCUCCAGGCCAUUACAAGAAUGCCGGUAUCACCCUGUCUCCCGCUAAAGAGAUAAGAUUUAUGCAAUUUUGCCGAGGGGCUGCCUGGUUGGAUCUUCUCCUCUCCAAAGUUCUGUGAGUACCCACAAUGCUCUGCUUUCGUAAAGGUUUGGCAGCGCUCAGCCAUGCCGUGUUAUUCUUAAAAUACUUAAGAUGCUGCUGUUUUUCUCUUCCCUUGCUGAAGUACAGAUCAGUGUUCGUAAGCACCUGAACGCAGGAGCACUGACUGAGAAAAUGGAUCUCAUUUUCUCUUUCGGCUCUUUGUUCUGCAGGGGCAACAGUUACCACAGGCAACAUUUCAUCUGUUGGAUCAAACAUUACCCUGCCGGCGAUAAAGACUCCAUUGCAACCCUUGGUGGUGCAUCAAAAUGUGAAUCCAGCGCUGAUGCUGCUGUUUGCCUGUGAGAUGAUCUCAAUGCUACGACUGUUAUCUGGGAAGAAUUUCUCUCAACUCUUCUGCCUCCUCAACAUAAAUCAGCUUUAGCCUGGUGAUAAUUCCAUCUGCUAUAAGUCUUUAUUAAACCUUUGCUGUUAGACAUUUCUCUUGUUCUUGACAUUGUCAUUUUCUGUUUUCUCUUUUAAGAUAAUCUUCAAAACCGCUGGAGAAGAUAACGCCUCGCAAGCUCCUGAUGGCUGAAGCCAAGAUUUUACUGUCAGCAUAGAAACCGGCCCAUUAACUUCUGAAGCCCUCUUUGGCAAAGCUCCCUCUCCCCUCUAUUGCCAUCAAAAAGCUAUUUCCCUUGGCCAGACCCACACAGCCCUAACAAUGAACAGAGGAUUAGAACAUCUCUCUGUCUUGGAGGGAAAAAAAGCAAGAAUGGAUUUUAAAAAAUCUCUUUUUAUCAGUCAUUGGUGGGGACAAAAGUUGGCAGCAUUUCCUCUACAGGAUUUUUCCCGAUAGGAUUUCCAAGAGGCGGUUUUGCUUUUACGACACCAUUCCUGUGCUUGUAAUCAGCCAACAUGUGGCAUUGUGAUCCAAUCACACAGAUUUUCCCCCUUCAGUCACUAAAUGGUUAAGUCUCUCAGUCUUUUGUUCAAGAAUCUUCA
Xyrichtys novacula (pearly razorfish) is the source of this 3223-nucleotide non-coding RNA. NCBI's taxonomy places the organism in Eukaryota, Metazoa, Chordata, Actinopteri, Labriformes, Labridae. The record is from the annotation of a GenBank genome assembly.